Non-coding RNA from Desulfosporosinus lacus DSM 15449, 323 nucleotides. NCBI's taxonomy places the organism in Bacteria, Bacillati, Bacillota, Clostridia, Eubacteriales, Desulfitobacteriaceae. The record is from Rfam.
UUUUUGGAGAGUUUGAUCCUGGCUCAGGACGAACGCUGGCGGCGUGCCUAACACAUGCAAGUCGAACGGAGAAUUUCAAUAAGUUUACUUAGAGAAAUUUUUAGUGGCGGACGGGGGAGUAACGCGUGGGUAACCUACCCAUAAAGCCGGGACAACCCUUGGAAACGAGGGCUAAUACCGGAUAAUCUUUGAGCUUGGCAUCAAGUUUAAAGGAAAGGUGGCCUCUGAAUAUGCUACCGAUUAUGGAUGGACCCGCGUCUGAUUAGCUAGUUGGUGGGGUAAAGGCCUACCAAGGCGACGAUCAGUAGCCGGCCUGAGAGGGU